This 98-nucleotide transfer RNA is filed under the name Podospora comata. RNAcentral also lists the same sequence under 1 other name. The record is from RNAcentral. Lineage: Eukaryota; Fungi; Ascomycota; Sordariomycetes; Sordariales; Podosporaceae.
GCCCGAUUAGCUCAGCUGGUUAGAGCGUCGUACUAAUAUUGCCGCAAGGUUAAUAUCAAGUCAUGCGAAGGUCAACAGUUCAAUCCUGUUAUUGGGCA